This 253-nucleotide ribosomal RNA is filed under the name uncultured bacterium. Its description in RNAcentral is "partial 16S ribosomal RNA". It matches the Rfam family "Bacterial small subunit ribosomal RNA", at positions 524 to 776 of the family's 1533-position model. The record is from RNAcentral.
UACAGAGGCCUCGAGCGUUAGGCGGAAUCACUGGGCUUAAAGCGUGUGUAGGCGGACUUCUAAGUACCUUGUGAAAUCCCGCAGCUUAACUGUGGAACUGCUUGGUAUACUGGUUGUCUUGAGGUACCUAGGGGCGAGCGGAACAAGUGGUGGAGCGGUGAAAUGCGUAGAUAUCACUUGGAACGCCAACGGUGAAAACAGCUCGCUGGGGGUAUCCUGACGCUGAGACACGAAAGCCAGGGGAGCAAACGGG